ACGGGAGGCAGCAGUGGGGAAUAUUGCACAAUGGGCGCAAGCCUGAUGCAGCGAUGCCGCGUGAGGGAAGAAGGUUUUCGGAUUGUAAACCUCUGUCAACAGGGACGAAAAUGACGGUACCUGUGAAGGAAGCUCCGGCUAACUACGUGCCAGCAGCCGCGGUAAUACGUAGGGGGCAAGCGUUAUCCGGAUUUACUGGGUGUAAAGGGAGCGUAGACGGCGAGGCAAGUCUGAUGUGAAAGCUCGGGGCUCAACCCCGGAACUGCAUUGGAAACUGUUUUGCUAGAGUGUCGGAGAGGUAAGCGGAAUUCCUAGUGUAGCGGUGAAAUGCGUAGAUAUUAGGAGGAACACCAGUGGCGAAGGCGGCUUACUGGACGAUAACUGACGUUGAGGCUCGAAAGCGUGGGGAGCAAACAGGAUUAGAUACCCUGGUA
Molecule: ribosomal RNA, 434 nt
Filed under: uncultured Lachnospiraceae bacterium
Lineage: Bacteria; Bacillati; Bacillota; Clostridia; Lachnospirales; Lachnospiraceae
Description: partial 16S ribosomal RNA
Rfam family: Bacterial small subunit ribosomal RNA
Source: RNAcentral